GCCUCGCUAAACGAUGCACACCUGUAACUCACGUGACCCUGAUUAUUAUUGAAACGAGAACGAGGGCGUCGUGCCUUUAUAAGACUGCGUUAAUGGCGUUAAUGUUUCCGUGGAGUUAUCCCUUCCGUUGUUGUUUAUUGAUUGUUAAACAUGGCUUCAUUUGCAAAGGUGGUUGUGUGUGUCCUCAUUGCCUUUGUCUGUAAUGCAUUCUGUUUUACGAAGAGAGAUGUGAACUUUAAGGCCUCUGCAGUUGACCGCCAAAGUGAUGAUGUGGUUGUCACCACAACACCCAAUCCCCACAACCAGACCACAUCUGCCCAUACUGAAGCUGGUGGUGGUGCAAGUGAAGAUGCUGUGGCUACUACCCCAGCACCUAAUCCACACAACCAGACAACUUCUGCACAAACUGAAGUUACUGAUGGAGCCAGUGAAGAUGCUGAGGACCGCCAAAGUGAUGAUAUGGUUGUCACCACAACACCCAAUCCCCACAACCAGACCACAUCUGCCCAUACUGAAGCUGGUGGUGGUGCAAGUGAAGAUGCUGUGGCUACUACCCCAGCACCUAAUCCACACAACCAGACAACUUCUGCACAAACUGAAGUUACUGAUGGAGCCAGUGAAGAUGCUGAGGACCGCCAAAGUGAUGAUGUGGUUGUCACCACAACACCCAAUCCCCACAACCAGACCACAUCUGCCCCUACUGAAGCUGGUGAUGGAGCAAGUGAAGAUGCUGUGGCUACCACCCCAACACCAAAUCCCCCAACUACAUCUGACCACACUGCAGCUACCGAUGAUGCAAGUGAGGGUGCUGUGGCUGCCCAAACUGGAACUACUGUAUCCCAUACGACUGAAGUCUGAUUCGACUGCUCCUCUGGACACAAUGACCUGAGUCACUGUCUGGACUUUUUGCCUCUACAUGUUGACUGCAAUAAAGGACAGAUUUGUUGUUUUUAAUCAAAUGUUGUCUUGCCUUUUUCAAAUUGAGGCCUUGUCCUGUUUUGGUGGUGGAGAUGACUAUGAAGCCUCUUUCCUAACGUAUUUCCUGUAGUGGUUUUACUAUAUGCUUCAUGCAACAAGGCCUUCAACGACUCUACAAAUUGUGUCUGAAUUUGUAGAAUGGUUGAACUGGUAGUGAUGCACUAUAAUGGUGAACUGCUUGUGGCAUUUCAAAAAUCUCUACUGUACUGUUUGACAUGUACAUCUCAAGUGAAUUUGCGUGGUAAUUGGUAAACCGAUGUCCGUCCCUACUAAGGGAGUACUGGCCUUAGUAGGCUAACCCCCUGAAAGGCAUUCAAACAAUAACAGCCUAGUUGCGGCUGAGGGAACCUUGCCAUUGUGUUAACUGGUGUCUCUUGGCAAUACAGUUUACAAUGUUGUGCUGUGAAAGCUUUUCAUGCGUUUCAUGGGGUAUUUAGUCCCAGAGCAGCAGGGACCAAGUGCAUAGCCAGGAUGGGUAGUGGGACUCUCUCGUUCACAGGACCAUAUACAAUCAAAAUAGAAAUAUCAAAACUUGUCAAUCAAUGUAACGGCUAUAUAAAUGACAUACAGUGUAUGUACUUAACUUUUUAACACAG
Clupea harengus (Atlantic herring) is the source of this 1574-nucleotide long non-coding RNA. The record is from Ensembl. NCBI's taxonomy places the organism in Eukaryota, Metazoa, Chordata, Actinopteri, Clupeiformes, Clupeidae.